CCCCGCACAAGCAGCGGAGCGUGUGGUUUAAUUCGUUGCUACACGAAGAACCUUACCUGGGUUUGACAUAUAAGUUGUAGGGAACUGAAAGGGACCGACCUUCGGGGAGCUUAUACAGGUGUUGCAUGGCUGUCGUCAGCUCGUGUCGUGAGAUGUUCGGUUAAGUCCGCUAACGAGCGCAACCCUCGCCGUAUGUUACAAGUGUCAUACGGGACUGCCGGUAAAAGCCGGAGGAAGGUGAGGAUGAUGUCAAGUCAGCAUGACCUUUAUAUCCAGGGCUACACACACGCUACAAUGGUCUGUACAAUUGGUUGCCAAGCCGCGAGGCGGAGCCAAUCCGUAAAGCAGGCCUCAGUUCAGAUUGCAGUCUGCAACUCGACUGCAUGAAGCCGGAGUUGCUAGUAACCGCAGGUCAGCAAUACUGCGGUGAAUACGUUCCCGGGUCUU
Molecule: ribosomal RNA, 447 nt
Filed under: uncultured Anaerolineaceae bacterium
Lineage: Bacteria; Bacillati; Chloroflexota; Anaerolineae; Anaerolineales; Anaerolineaceae
Description: bacterial SSU rRNA
Rfam family: Bacterial small subunit ribosomal RNA
Source: RNAcentral